CGACGCUCCGUUCCCAGCUCUCUGCCUUCCUCUUGGCUUUUGGAGCCUGGGGGUAAGCGGAGGGGACACGAGUGGGUGAGCUGUCCCAGAUCCCCCCUUCUCCGGCACAUCCUAAGUCACACACCUUCUCACCUCCAUGCCUUUACUCACUCCGUUCCCUCCACCUGCCAUGCCCCUUUUCCUCUAAUGCAUUUGGCGAACUCCUACUCACCCUUCAAUACCCACCCAAGUGCUGGCUCCUCUGGGAAACCUUUCUCCACAGUUCAAGCUCAAGUGAGUGCUGUAUUUCCACGCCCCCAGGACCCUUUCACCCUUUACUGCCUUAUUACGUAUCCCCCCCAUCCAUCCAUGCUGUGGGUUCCUGUCCUGUUCACAACUGGGUCCACGGUGCCACACGUAAUUCUUGGCAGGAAGGUGCUCUAUCAAUGUGUUUGACGGAAAGAGGGGAAACGGAGGCACCCACUUUCGGGACUAGUUAGGGGAAGGCAGAAAGGGGCUCAGCCUCACAUCCAGCUCUUCAAUCGUACCGGGAGGAACCCCUUUUGUCAGUUAUGUUGAAACAGAGAAACGAAUCCCCUGUUUCAGGAGGUCCUGUCUGAGCCUGGCGCUGGAGCUGCCCUCGCGGGGCCCACCAUCUGAGGGAGGACGGAGGAGGGACAAGAGUAGGUCGGCAGGACAACACCCAUCUUGACAGAAGGACAGCAGCGUGGUGCGACAGUGGAGGGAGCGGCAGCCACUGCUGACAGGGCGGUGGGGACAGGUCUCCUCAGAGAGGGGACCCGGGCUGACGACAGAGCGAGGAGGAGGAGCUACAGGCAGAGAUGCGAAGGGGGCUUCGGGCAGCCCUGUCGCAACCUGCGUGCUGGCCGGGGCCCCAAGAGCGGCGACCAGGACAGACGCGGCCCAGCGGGGGACAGAGCAGCUUUGUGACCCGGCAUCACUGAACGGUCUCACGCGGCCCCCACAGCAGGCCGGCACCGGCGCUUGUGAGCACUCGUUCGAAACCCGUCCCUGCCAGCCACGCUCACUGCCCCUAAACUGAACCAAGAACACAGGGACGGACAGAUGAGCUUCCGUACGGGUCUCGGUGAAGGUUUGGGAAGUCUUGACGGAGGCAUAUUGUGCCAAACGCAAGUCGGUUGUCACACUAGGCGUGAACGAGACACCUGUGACGGGGCUGGGGGGGACGGGACAUCAAUGAAGCCUUCAAAGAUUAACGGAUGACAGGGCACGACCUCCAGAGCCAUUCUCUCUGCUGACAGUCAGGGGCAACUCAGCGGGAGCAUGGCUACCCCACGGAAAGACUACCUUUCCCAUCCUCCUUUGCAGCAGGAUGUGGUCAGGUGACUCGGCUCUGACCAAUGGGAUGUGAGCAGCAGGAUGUGCAGAACCCAGGGUGCAGCGGCCCUGAACGUCCCCCUCCCCUGCCCGCCCCUCUCCUCUCCUGCCAGGAUGUGAAGGUGGCAUUGAGGGCACCCCCCUCCCUCUCCCCCCACCGCCGACAGCAGAACCAGGAAGAAGGCAGGUGCCUGGGCCCCGUGCUGUGGGGCCACCUUCCCUGUCCGGAUGGCUGUGCACAACUGUCACUGGAGAGAAAAGUAACCCCUGUGCAGUUGAAACCCUUGUUACCUGGGGUCCUAUCCACUGGCGGGGCUUGCAAUCUAGUAACCCGGACCACGGAUAUGUUUAAAUUAAAAUAAACGAUUUCCCUCAUUAACCCCCUUCUUCAGUUAACAAACCAGAGUGGCCUAGGGGCGCCUGGGCGGCUCAGUCGGUUAAACGUCCGACUUUGGCUCAGGUCACGAUCUCACGGUUCGUGAGUUCGAGCCCCGCGUCGGGCUCUGUGCUGAAGGCUCAGAGCCUGGAGCCUGUUUCAGAUUCUGUGUCUCCCUCUCUCUCUGCCCCUCCCCUGCUCACGCUCUGUCUCUUGUCUCUCAAAAAUGAAUACACGUUAAAAAAAAAAAAAGAGUGGCCUUGACCUUGGCGGAUAAGACAGCUGUGGUGCAAAGAUCACCUGCCACACCCUUCUCUCCCCUCCUUUCCGCCAGCACAGGCCGCCUACAGGCCGCAGUUCCGUGAGGCCAGGAGAUUAGUCCAGCCAAUGAACUUCGAGGGGCUGACAGGCAAACAUCGGUGUUCUUAGGUCUCCACCUUUGAGGGUCUCGCUUGUUUCAGCGGCUGAAGCAGCGGCCGGUAAAGCAGAGCCCGUCUUGACCGUGAAGUUUUACCGGCACGUGACCACGGCCACUCAUUCCCGCAAGAUCCAGGGCUGUUUGGGGCUGCGACGGCGGACUUGAGCCCUUACGACCCACGCGGUCUGGCCUUUGGAGACCAGGGCCCUGUGGGACGGCACGUGUGCCUGGGAUGUCCCGCCGGGGCGCGCUGCCCCUCCUGACAUCGGUGAGUGCCGGAGGCGGGGUGGGGGCACACAAAUGCCUUAAAAACAACCUUCUCUGGGGGUGCCGCGUGGCUCAGUGUGUUGAGCAUCCGGCUCUUGUUCUCGGCUCAGGUCGUGACCUCGGUGAGAUCGAGCCCCGCGUCGGGCUCCGCGCUGAGUAUGGAGCCUGCUUGGGAUUCGCUCUCUCCCUCUCUCUGCCCCUCCCCUGCUUGUGCUCCCUCUUCCUCUCAAAAUAAAUACACGUUAAAAAAAAAAAUCUCUGUCCACUGAGGGCAGCGAGUGGUUAAGUGCUUGGCCGAGGGCACCAGCCACCUGAA
This is a long non-coding RNA of Felis catus (domestic cat), 2715 nucleotides long. RefSeq lists it as uncharacterized. Lineage: Eukaryota; Metazoa; Chordata; Mammalia; Carnivora; Felidae. The record is from RefSeq and is a predicted model, not a curated record. The transcript is spliced from 2 exons.